AGUAGCCACGCAUGCGCAGUGGGCGUCUUCUGUACAACAUGGCUUCAGAAUCAAACAUGGAGGAGUGUAUUCCAUCUCCCGGCACUCCGGACUCAAGGAAAAGGCCACUGGACAUCGAUUCAGACGAUGCAAUGUCCAAGCGUUCACAUUACAUACCAGAUAUGCAGAGUGAAGGGACAUAUCACCUCAAGAUUUUGGUGCCAAGUGUUGCAGCUGGUGCUAUCAUCGGCAAAGGGGGAGAGACAAUUGCACAACUUCAAAAAGAUACCAGUGCCCGAGUUAAGAUGUCUAAAGCCAACGAUUUCUAUCCAGGUACUACAGAGCGUGUUUGCCUCAUCACGGGUAAUGUUGAUGCAAUAUGCACUGUGCUUUCAUUCAUAAUGGAGAAAAUUAAAGAGAAACCUGACCCAAAUGCCAAGCCAGCAAUUGACUUUGAUAACAAGAUGACUGCAGAAAGAGAAAAACAGAUUUCAAGAAGUGCUCGAUCUCCACAGGUGAAGAUUUUGGUCCCCAAUAGCACAGCGGGCAUGAUCAUUGGUAAGGGUGGCACUUACAUCAAGCAGAUCAAAGAAGAAAGUGGGGCCUAUGUUCAGAUCUCCCAAAAAGCUAAAGACCAGUCUUUAGCCGAGCGGUGUAUCACUGUCAUAUCCAAUGAUGUGGAAAAUAGCAAGAAUGCGUGUUUGAUGAUCUUGGCGAAGAUUGUUGAGGAUCCCCAGAGUGGCACAUGUCUCAACGUGAGCUACGCUGACAUCACUGGUCCUGUCGCCAACCCUAACCCAACAGGUUCACCUUUUGCUAACUCCCCUGGAGGACAGGGUAUGCAGAAUGGUGGUUUGGGUGGAUUGAAUAAUCCACUUUCUGCUGUAAGUGGAUUAGGCAAUCUCCUUGGUGGAGGUGUAAACCUAACAUUGAACUUGAGCUCAGCAUAUCCAAAUGGUGGUGCUGGAAACCCAGUUGUUACUGCCCAGCUCUUGGAGCACGUGAGGUCCAUUCUCCGUUCUUCUGGUUUUGCCGAUCAAUCCAAUGCUGAGGUUUGCCAGGCCAUCAACACACUAAUCAAUUACGGUAUCAUCGGCUUAGGGCUGGGUCUUGGUAACCCCUCGGGUCAUCAGGGGAGUCAUGGAGGCCAGGGGGGUCAAGGACAAGGCAAUAUGGGAGGUAAUCCUAUGUUAGGAAACAUGAACAACUCUAACAACCCUAAUGAAUCUUACCAUGGAUCAUCAAUGAGUAAUGGGAACAAUGGCCCUUUUGGGCCCAUCGGCACAACAGUGGCCUCGGGUCUAAACUUAGGGCAAGGCCUAGGUGGACCAACCUCCCCUCAACGUCAAGUGGAUCGUUUCAAUUCUGAGCCCCCUUUUGAUCCUUUUCGCCGGCAGUCUACAGAAAUGGGGGGGAGUCUACCCCUGAACAGUAACUCAUUUGGGCUCGGCACUCCUUUAAGGAAGAGCCCAUCUCCCGGGGAACUUCCUCCAGGAGCUCCAGAUGGUAGCAAGAAGGUUGAGGUGGAAGUUGGUGAGCACAUUGUUGGCGCUAUCCUGGGUCCUGGGGGAAAGUCUCUGGUAGAGAUCCAGCAUAUCUCCGGCACCACUAUUCAGAUCUCCAAGAAGGAUAAUGGGUGACCCCAAUGUCAUGAAUGAUGAGUAAGCUGGUGUGUAUGUGUGGAGCUGACAGUGCCAGGCUGUGGUGGUGGCGGCAGCAGGAGGGUGAGAGAGGCUCUCCACGCAGGCUCGGCACUCCCCUCCACACAGCUUCUCUGAGAUGCUGAGAUGCUUCCUGCUAGAACCACACACAACCAUCACCAGAAGGCAAUACUAGAGCACUUAUAAAGUGUCAUAAAACCACAAAUAAAGAAAGAAUAAUGAAUGGACAAACGGCCUCACAUGGAUCACCUAAGUAUUUAAGACUUCCAGCUUUUUCAAAACAAAAUCCAAUAGCCUGAAAGUCUGAAAUGAGCCACGUAUUAAAACGGUGACAUCUGAAAUUGUUAAAUAAGGGUUUGCUGUACAGUAACAACAGAAUAACCAAUUUGCUUAUAAAAUGUCAAACCUGAUGAACACCUCUCAGGAGUUGAGGAAAUUUUUUAUUUUGAUAUGGCAAAAAGAGGAGUUGAGGAAGAAUGGUAGAGUGUAGUGAACAAUAAAAUCAUUUAAUGCGUAGUAAGGGAUCUGCAUCACUAUUUUGGUUAAAGUGAAAAUUGAGUUCACCUCAAAUUUACUGAUGAAUUUCAUUUUACAGGAUAUUUAUUAGUUCAUUCUUAUAACUUACAGAAGAAAGUGAUAAUGUAUGGAAAAUAUAGUUAGUUGUCUUUAGGUAAGAUUCACAAUGAGUUUUGUAAAAUUAUCUUCUUUUUUUUUUAAUCAACUUGGUAAUAAGAGAAGAGGCUCUUCAGAAAUAGUAAAAAAAGUUCCUGUGAAAUUAAUGUGAGCAUGGGCAGCUGAUGCAAGCUUUUAUGUUAAAAAUGUUUGCCUUGUAAGUAAAAGGACUUGGCUUCAGCUUGUGUACUCCCUCUUUCACUGUUGCAUUUUUCACCUAACCCCUCCAUUUUAUCCAUUGAUAAAACAACAGGGGAAGGCUUUAUUAUCAGAAAUAUAAGUUAGAAAAACAGGUAUUGAGACAAGAUGAAGCAGGCGAUGGUGUAUUGUUUGGUCUUGGGGAGAGCACAAUACGUGGUAUUAACCACCUGUGUACAAGGUCUUCUCCGAGCUGAAUAAAUCGUUUGGUGUUAGCCAAAUAAAAUAUUAAAAGUGGCAUCACCAUAGUGAAGGGUUUAAGAAGAAUGCUAACAAUAAGGAACUUGGUGCAAUCAACAUCCCUUUUGUCAAAGAUAAGAAUAUUGAGGCCAAAGCUAGAUAAAAUGGAGAUGCUCAGAAUGUAUAAUCAUGACCAGAACCAAAAGAAAGUUGUAGAUUUCAAGUGGUUUCAUCUCUGGUGAUGGUGAGUAUAUAUAUAUACAGGGAUAUAUAUUUUUUUUAUACUUUAUAAUAUAUCAGGUACAGUACCUAUAGUAAAUAUUUUAUUUUAUUAAGGGGAUUUUUCAUUGUAUUUGUUAUGAUGUAAUGUUGGCCAAAUUUUGAUUGGAAUACAAAACCCCCACAUAAAGUGAGGGUCACUGGUAAUUAAUUGUUAUAAGAUCAUAUGCAUGAUCACAAUGAGUGGUUUAAAUUUUUUGGAGGUUUUAAUAGUUUUGUUAUAAAAAUCCAUUUUUCCCCUUUAUAAAUUUUUUUUCGACUUGUGGGAAACUACUCUGCAGGUACAGUAGUCCUUAUAUAUUGCAAAUUUGCAUAUGGUAGUUUCAGUCAUUUGCAAUUUAUAUUUUAUAACCAAAAUUAUAACUUUUUUUUCACAAUAUUCUCAAAAGAAAAUUAAAAUCACACACAAGAGCCAUCUAGAUAUGUAUCGUCUUGCUGGGAGAGCCACACACCUCAUUAAAUCACUCGUCACAGCUUAAAUAAUUAAAAAUUUAUGCAUUCUUAUACUGUACGUAUUUACAUGUUUAUUGUUUUAUAGUCAUACAUACAGUACAGUACGUAUAGUAAAAACUGGAUAUACUGUAGAUGGUGGUGGAGGGUAGUUGUUGCCGAGUGAUGAGAGGUGGUCAGAUGACAAAAUACCUGUACUGAGAAAGUAUGCAUAUUCCAUAAAAUUAUAUUUUAUAUUGUUUUUCAUGUAUAAUUGUAUGGUUUUCAUGUUUAAUUAUUGAUUAUAUAUUGUAGUUAUUAUAUAUUUAAAUUUUUUUUUUCAUUUUAUGAAUCAUUCUGUAACUAAAAUUAUUAAAGUACUAUAGUACAGUACCUCCAAAAUUCCUAGUCAGGAACAUAACCCCCCCCCCACCUUAUUGGGAAAAUCAGCAGUUUCACAAUAAAGAACUGAAACAC
RNAcentral lists this unclassified non-coding RNA (3875 nucleotides) under Homarus americanus (American lobster). RNAcentral's name for it is "rNA-binding protein Nova-1-like, transcript variant X2". The record is from RNAcentral. Lineage: Eukaryota; Metazoa; Arthropoda; Malacostraca; Decapoda; Nephropidae.